This 1037-nucleotide long non-coding RNA is filed under the name Equus caballus (horse). RNAcentral's name for it is "lncRNA (ENSECAG00000054838.1)". Lineage: Eukaryota; Metazoa; Chordata; Mammalia; Perissodactyla; Equidae. The record is from RNAcentral.
UUAGGAAGCGUUAGAGGAUGGAUGCUGUGGAUGAAUGGAGCAAUGGACAUAAUGACAGAUCGGUGCACUGAGUGGCUCGCACGGCUCUUGGCUUUCAGCCCUCGGAGUAGAACAAGUGGAAGUUCACCGACAACCCCGUGUUCCUGGAGAUGGUCAGGAUCCCUGCAGCAGGGCUUCUGCAGCACGUGGUUCUGUAGCCUGAAGCCGCAAGACCUGUGGCCUGGCUUUGUGCGAAGGUCUGCAGCCCGUGUCCUGCACGUGCAUCAGCGCAGGUGUCUGAGGAGGGAGGCCUCUCUCCUUCUGUCCCCUUCAGUGCCAGCGGCUUCCAGCUCCGUGAUGACCCCUCUCAUCUUUGCAUCCUGGGUGAGAAAGCAGCUCCCAGGUGCUGCUGCUGCUGGGCUGAGGACUACGCUUUGAGCCCCACCCUGGUUCCCGAGGCGCUAGAACUUGAUGGAGCUGGCAGGACGUGUUGGCAUCGUGCAGAAACAGAGUCGGGCCUCCUGAAGGCCCAGCAGAUGGCAGAACCCCACACAUGGAGCCACUUUCCCCACCACAUUCCAACCACUAGGACUGAGGGAACCAAACUGGGACCCCACAAACAGGUCUUUCUUCCAAGUCAGCUUCUCUUGACUUUCACUGUCUCCUCCUCCAGCUGGGACACAGGAUGGUCUGGCCCUGCCAUCUGUCCUCCUGGUCCUCCCUCAGCCCCCUCGGGCUCUGGCCCAGCUCUUGGCCCGUCUCAGGAACGUGGGGCUGUUUCCUGGGUUCUUCUCUCUUCCCAACACGUCUGCAUCAGAGAUUCCUGCCCAAGAGGCCUGAGCCUGGUCUGCUUUCUCCCACACCCUUGUGGCAUUGGUGGAGACACACUGAGAGCAGGUGUGGUCUUUAGGCCCCCCCCCCCCCCACACACACCUGAUCGAAAUGAGCCCACACUGUCUCUUCCUACUGCCCUCAGCCAGGACCUUCCCAAUUCCAGAGACUCCAAAUUGUCUUUAAUAAACCACUAUCAACCCAUAGGUCUGCCAACAAGCCUUUUU